Molecule: long non-coding RNA, 219 nt
Filed under: Capsicum annuum
Lineage: Eukaryota; Viridiplantae; Streptophyta; Magnoliopsida; Solanales; Solanaceae
Description: long non-coding RNA (CANN_LNC007928)
Source: RNAcentral
UCAUUAGAGAGAUUUUGAUGAAUAUUAUGAGUUUAUAACACUUGAAACAUUUCCUCUCUAAGGAAAGAAGACCACCAACCCGAAAUUGUAACUAGGGAAAUCAACUUGAGUGUGGAAUCGCUCGUGUUGGAUUCAAGCUUGGAAAUGUUGGAUGCUUGGGAGAUCGGGGUCACUCUUGUGCCAACGUAAAAUUUAGGUAUUUGAUGUGUGUGAUGUUAA